This 2923-nucleotide ribosomal RNA is filed under the name Klebsiella pneumoniae. RNAcentral describes it as "bacterial LSU rRNA". It matches the Rfam family "Bacterial large subunit ribosomal RNA". Lineage: Bacteria; Pseudomonadati; Pseudomonadota; Gammaproteobacteria; Enterobacterales; Enterobacteriaceae. The record is from RNAcentral.
GGGUUGUGAGGUUAAGCGACUAAGCGUACACGGUGGAUGCCCUGGCAGUCAGAGGCGAUGAAGGACGUGCUAAUCUGCGAAAAGCGUCGGUAAGGUGAUAUGAACCGUUAUAACCGGCGAUGUCCGAAUGGGGAAACCCAGUGUGAUUCGUCACACUAUCGUUAACUGAAUACAUAGGUUAACGAGGCGAACCGGGGGAACUGAAACAUCUAAGUACCCCGAGGAAAAGAAAUCAACCGAGAUUCCCCCAGUAGCGGCGAGCGAACGGGGAGCAGCCCAGAGUCUGAAUCAGCUUGUGUGUUAGUGGAACGGUCUGGAAAGUCCGACGGUACAGGGUGAUAGUCCCGUACACCAAAAUGCACAGGCUGUGAACUCGAAGAGUAGGGCGGGACACGUGGUAUCCUGUCUGAAUAUGGGGGGACCAUCCUCCAAGGCUAAAUACUCCUGACUGACCGAUAGUGAACCAGUACCGUGAGGGAAAGGCGAAAAGAACCCCGGCGAGGGGAGUGAAAAAGAACCUGAAACCGUGUACGUACAAGCAGUGGGAGCACCUUCGGGUGUGACUGCGUACCUUUUGUAUAAUGGGUCAGCGACUUAUAUUCUGUAGCAAGGUUAACCGUAUAGGGGAGCCGCAGGGAAACCGAGUCUUAACUGGGCGUUAAGUUGCAGGGUAUAGACCCGAAACCCGGUGAUCUAGCCAUGGGCAGGUUGAAGGUUGGGUAACACUAACUGGAGGACCGAACCGACUAAUGUUGAAAAAUUAGCGGAUGACUUGUGGCUGGGGGUGAAAGGCCAAUCAAACCGGGAGAUAGCUGGUUCUCCCCGAAAGCUAUUUAGGUAGCGCCUCGUGAACUCAUCUUCGGGGGUAGAGCACUGUUUCGGCUAGGGGGUCAUCCCGACUUACCAACCCGAUGCAAACUACGAAUACCGAAGAAUGUUAUCACGGGAGACACACGGCGGGUGCUAACGUCCGUCGUGAAGAGGGAAACAACCCAGACCGCCAGCUAAGGUCCCAAAGUCAUGGUUAAGUGGGAAACGAUGUGGGAAGGCACAGACAGCCAGGAUGUUGGCUUAGAAGCAGCCAUCAUUUAAAGAAAGCGUAAUAGCUCACUGGUCGAGUCGGCCUGCGCGGAAGAUGUAACGGGGCUAAACCAUGCACCGAAGCUGCGGCAGCGACACUAUGUGUUGUUGGGUAGGGGAGCGUUCUGUAAGCCUGCGAAGGUGUGCUGUGAGGCAUGCUGGAGGUAUCAGAAGUGCGAAUGCUGACAUAAGUAACGAUAAAGCGGGUGAAAAGCCCGCUCGCCGGAAGACCAAGGGUUCCUGUCCAACGUUAAUCGGGGCAGGGUGAGUCGACCCCUAAGGCGAGGCCGAAAGGCGUAGUCGAUGGGAAACAGGUUAAUAUUCCUGUACUUGGUGUUACUGCGAAGGGGGGACGGAGAAGGCUAUGUUAGCCGGGCGACGGUUGUCCCGGUUUAAGCAUGUAGGCUGGUUGUCCAGGCAAAUCCGGAUAAUCAAGGCUGAGGUGUGAUGACGAGGCACUACGGUGCUGAAGUAACAAAUGCCCUGCUUCCAGGAAAAGCCUCUAAGCAUCAGGUAACAUCAAAUCGUACCCCAAACCGACACAGGUGGUCAGGUAGAGAAUACCAAGGCGCUUGAGAGAACUCGGGUGAAGGAACUAGGCAAAAUGGUGCCGUAACUUCGGGAGAAGGCACGCUGGUGUGUAGGUGAAGUCCCUGCGGAUGGAGCUGAGACCAGUCGAAGAUACCAGCUGGCUGCAACUGUUUAUUAAAAACACAGCACUGUGCAAACACGAAAGUGGACGUAUACGGUGUGACGCCUGCCCGGUGCCGGAAGGUUAAUUGAUGGGGUUAUCCGUAAGGAGAAGCUCUUGAUCGAAGCCCCGGUAAACGGCGGCCGUAACUAUAACGGUCCUAAGGUAGCGAAAUUCCUUGUCGGGUAAGUUCCGACCUGCACGAAUGGCGUAAUGAUGGCCAGGCUGUCUCCACCCGAGACUCAGUGAAAUUGAACUCGCUGUGAAGAUGCAGUGUACCCGCGGCAAGACGGAAAGACCCCGUGAACCUUUACUAUAGCUUGACACUGAACAUUGAGCCUUGAUGUGUAGGAUAGGUGGGAGGCUUUGAAGCGUGGACGCCAGUCUGCGUGGAGCCAACCUUGAAAUACCACCCUUUAAUGUUUGAUGUUCUAACGUUGGCCCCUGACCGGGGUUGCGGACAGUGUCUGGUGGGUAGUUUGACUGGGGCGGUCUCCUCCCAAAGCGUAACGGAGGAGCACGAAGGUUAGCUAAUCCUGGUCGGACAUCAGGAGGUUAGUGCAAUGGCAUAAGCUAGCUUGACUGCGAGCGUGACGGCGCGAGCAGGUGCGAAAGCAGGUCAUAGUGAUCCGGUGGUUCUGAAUGGAAGGGCCAUCGCUCAACGGAUAAAAGGUACUCCGGGGAUAACAGGCUGAUACCGCCCAAGAGUUCAUAUCGACGGCGGUGUUUGGCACCUCGAUGUCGGCUCAUCACAUCCUGGGGCUGAAGUAGGUCCCAAGGGUAUGGCUGUUCGCCAUUUAAAGUGGUACGCGAGCUGGGUUUAGAACGUCGUGAGACAGUUCGGUCCCUAUCUGCCGUGGGCGCUGGAGAAUUGAGGGGGGCUGCUCCUAGUACGAGAGGACCGGAGUGGACGCAUCACUGGUGUUCGGGUUGUCAUGCCAAUGGCACUGCCCGGUAGCUAAAUGCGGAAGAGAUAAGUGCUGAAAGCAUCUAAGCACGAAACUUGCCCCGAGAUGAGUUCUCCCUGAGACUUUAAGUCUCCUGAAGGAACGUUAAAGACGAUGACGUUGAUAGGCCGGGUGUGUAAGCGCAGCGAUGCGUUGAGCUAACCGGUACUAAUGAACCGUGAGGCUUAACCUUACAACGCCGAAG